GUAGGGUGCGAGCGUUAAUCGGAAUUACUGGGCGUAAAGCGUGCGCAGGCGGUUAUGUAAGACAGAUGUGAAAUCCCCGGGCUCAACCUGGGAACUGCAUUUGUGACUGCAUGGCUAGAGUACGGUAGAGGGGGAUGGAAUUCCGCGUGUAGCAGUGAAAUGCGCAGAUAUGCGGAGGAACACCGAUGGCGAAGGCAAUCCCCUGGACCUGUACUGACGCCCAUGCACGAAAGCGUGGGGAGCAAACAGGAUUAGAUACCCUGGUAGUCCACGCCCCUAAACGAUGUCAACUGGUUGUUGGGAAUUAGUUUUCUCAGUAACGAAGCUAACGCGUGAAGUUGACCGCCUGGGAGUACGGCCGCAAGGUUG
This 369-nucleotide ribosomal RNA is filed under the name uncultured organism. RNAcentral's name for it is "partial 16S ribosomal RNA". It matches the Rfam family "Bacterial small subunit ribosomal RNA", at positions 527 to 896 of the family's 1533-position model. The record is from RNAcentral.